This 274-nucleotide long non-coding RNA is filed under the name Zonotrichia albicollis (white-throated sparrow). Its description in RNAcentral is "lncRNA (ENSZALG00000004117.1)". The record is from RNAcentral. Lineage: Eukaryota; Metazoa; Chordata; Aves; Passeriformes; Passerellidae.
ACCAGUUACUUUGAUCAACUCAUCUGUGCUGUGCCACGGAAGGCAGUGUGGUGGUCAGUUCUCUCUGCAGGGGAACCCAUGACUUCAGGAAGCUGAGGCAGCAACAAUACUGGAAAAAACUGAUCUGAGGGAAGGCAGUUGAUGGUGGAAAUUACUAUCCUCACUUGCAGGCAGAGGACAUAAAGAAGAGGGAAUGCCAGCAACCAUGCUGUCAACUUUGCAAGUCAUUAACAAUCUGGAAAGAGACUGAGACAUACUGUCAACUUAAGCAGAA